CCCGGAGUUCAAUGAAAACUAUUUACAUCUAGUAAUAUACAUGGGUCAAAUUAGGAAUCUUAGUGCAAUGCCAAGUACAUUAAGAAUAUUUUUGUAGCAUAAAAAUAAAUGUUAUAAGUACUAACAGUAAAUUUUUGUCUUCAGUUUUCGUUUUAGGUCAUCUUACUUCACAGAAAGAUUCCAUGAUGUUGGAUUCUCUCUCUCUCCCCUUCUGUGUUGUACGGGCAUACAUCAUUCUUGCAAUUUGCAAUACAUAUAGCUCACAAAGUCUGAUAUUGAGCAACUGGAUGUUAAUAUUCUAUUUUAAAGCUCUGCCAUCCACCAUCCAUAAAUGUUCUUUUCCCCAUGAGAGUCUGCUCACUGACUUAACUGAACAAAUGAUAGAAAAUCAUCCAGUGUGGUAUAUUUCUCCUUGUGCAAUGAAAGGAAAAGGUUCUGUAUCCAGUAUCCCAAAGCCACUCCAAGAAUCAUGCUCUGAAAGAAUCCUGAGCCCAGGCCAGCACUAGCUUUUCUCAUCUGCUUUUUAAAAUCUCCUGUUACAUAGUUGUCUUGUAAGUACCUUAUGACUCAUCAUAUGCACUAAAGAAAUAUUCAGUGACUAAUCAAAAGUACUCAUUUAAACUUAAUUGCAUAGAU
This 636-nucleotide long non-coding RNA is filed under the name Mustela putorius furo (domestic ferret). RNAcentral's name for it is "lncRNA (ENSMPUG00000025042.1)". Lineage: Eukaryota; Metazoa; Chordata; Mammalia; Carnivora; Mustelidae. The record is from RNAcentral.